Molecule: ribosomal RNA, 465 nt
Filed under: uncultured Klebsiella sp.
Lineage: Bacteria; Pseudomonadati; Pseudomonadota; Gammaproteobacteria; Enterobacterales; Enterobacteriaceae
Description: bacterial SSU rRNA
Rfam family: Bacterial small subunit ribosomal RNA
Source: RNAcentral
CCUACGGGUGGCUGCAGUGGGGAAUAUUGCACAAUGGGCGCAAGCCUGAUGCAGCCAUGCCGCGUGUGUGAAGAAGGCCUUCGGGUUGUAAAGCACUUUCAGCGGGGAGGAAGGCGGUGAGGCUAAUAACCUCAUCGAUUGACGUUACCCGCAGAAGAAGCACCGGCUAACUCCGUGCCAGCAGCCGCGGUAAUACGGAGGGUGCAAGCGUUAAUCGGAAUUACUGGGCGUAAAGCGCACGCAGGCGGUCUGUCAAGUCGGAUGUGAAAUCCCCGGGCUCAACCUGGGAACUGCAUUCGAAACUGGCAGGCUAGAGUCUUGUAGAGGGGGGUAGAAUUCCAGGUGUAGCGGUGAAAUGCGUAGAGAUCUGGAGGAAUACCGGUGGCGAAGGCGGCCCCCUGGACAAAGACUGACGCUCAGGUGCGAAAGCGUGGGGAGCAAACAGGAUUAGAAACCCCGGUAGUC